Molecule: ribosomal RNA, 268 nt
Filed under: Bacillus pumilus
Lineage: Bacteria; Bacillati; Bacillota; Bacilli; Caryophanales; Bacillaceae
Description: partial 16S ribosomal RNA
Rfam family: Bacterial small subunit ribosomal RNA
Source: RNAcentral
AACCUAGAAAGCCACGGGUAAAUUACGGGCCCGCAGCCGCGGUAAUACGUAGGUGGCAAGCGUUGUCCGGAAUUAUUGGGCGUAAAGGGCUCGCAGGCGGUUUUUUAAGUUUGAUGUGAAAGCCCCCGGCUCAACCGGGGAGGGUCAUUGGAAACUGGGAAACUUGAGUGCAGAAGAGGAGAGUGGAAUUCCACGUGUAGCGGUGAAAUGCGUAGAGAUGUGGAGGAACACCAGUGGCGAAGGCGACUCUCUGGUCUGUAACUGACGC